RNAcentral lists this ribosomal RNA (487 nucleotides) under uncultured bacterium. Its description in RNAcentral is "bacterial SSU rRNA". It matches the Rfam family "Bacterial small subunit ribosomal RNA", at positions 30 to 518 of the family's 1533-position model. The record is from RNAcentral.
AUUGAACGCUGGCGGCAUGCCUUACACAUGCAAGUCGAACGGUAACAGGUUAAGCUGACGAGUGGCGAACGGGUGAGUAAUGUAUCGGAACGUGCCCAGUCGUGGGGGAUAACUGCUCGAAAGAGCAGCUAAUACCGCAUACGACCUGAGGGUGAAAGCGGGGGAUCGCAAGACCUCGCGCGAUUGGAGCGGCCGAUAUCAGAUUAGGUAGUUGGUGAGGUAAAGGCUCACCAAGCCGACGAUCUGUAGCUGGUCUGAGAGGACGACCAGCCACACUGGGACUGAGACACGGCCCAGACUCCUACGGGAGGCAGCAGUGGGGAAUUUUUGGACAAUGGGCGCAAGCCUGAUCCAGCCAUGCCGCGUGCGGGAAGAAGGCCUUCGGGUUGUAAACCGCUUUGUCAGGGAAGAAAAGGUUCUGGCUAAUACCUGGGACUCAUGACGGUACCUGAAGAAUAAGCACCGGCUAACUACGUGCCAGCGCCGC